Molecule: transfer RNA, 68 nt
Filed under: uncultured Intestinimonas sp.
Lineage: Bacteria; Bacillati; Bacillota; Clostridia; Eubacteriales
Rfam family: tRNA
About the family: Transfer RNA (tRNA) molecules are approximately 80 nucleotides in length.
Source: RNAcentral
CAGGUGUAGUUCAAUGGCAGAAUGUCAGCUUCCCAAGCUGAACACGUGGGUUCGAUUCCCAUCACCUG